Molecule: ribosomal RNA, 849 nt
Filed under: uncultured bacterium
Lineage: Bacteria
Description: bacterial SSU rRNA
Rfam family: Bacterial small subunit ribosomal RNA
Source: RNAcentral
GAACGCUAGCGGCAGGCCUAAUACAUGCAAGUCGAACGGGAUCCAGGUGUCAGCUUGCUAACAUCUGGUGAGAGUGGCGCACGGGUGCGUAACGCGUGAGCAACCUACCCAUAUCAGGGGGAUAGCCCGAAGAAAUUCGGAUUAACACCGCAUAAGACUACGAGAUGGCAUCAUCAAGUAGUUAAAUAUUUAUAGGAUAUGGAUGGGCUCGCGUGACAUUAGCUAGUUGGUGAGGUAACGGCUCACCAAGGCGACGAUGUCUAGGGGCUCUGAGAGGAGAAUCCCCCACACUGGUACUGAGACACGGACCAGACUCCUACGGGAGGCAGCAGUAAGGAAUAUUGGUCAAUGGACGGAAGUCUGAACCAGCCAUGCCGCGUGCAGGAUGACUGCCCUAUGGGUUGUAAACUGCUUUUGUCGAGGAAUAAACCUAUCUACGUGUAGAUAGCUGAAUGUACUCGAAGAAUAAGGAUCGGCUAACUCCGUGCCAGCAGCCGCGGUAAUACGGAGGAUCCGAGCGUUAUCCGGAUUUAUUGGGUUUAAAGGGUGCGUAGGCGGCACUUUAAGUCAGGGGUGAAAGACGGCAGCUUAACUGUCGCAGUGCCUUUGAUACUGAAGUGCUUGAAUGCGGUUGAAGACGGCGGAAUGAGACAAGUAGCGGUGAAAUGCAUAGAUAUGUCUCAGAACACCGAUUGCGAAGGCAGCUGUCUAAGCCGUUAUUGACGCUGAUGCACGAAAGCGUGGGGAUCGAACAGGAUUAGAUACCCUGGUAGUCCACGCCCUAAACGAUGAUAACUCGAUGUUUGCGAUAUACCGUAAGCGUCCAAGCGAAAGCGUUAAGUUAUCCAC